Molecule: ribosomal RNA, 465 nt
Filed under: Vreelandella stevensii
Lineage: Bacteria; Pseudomonadati; Pseudomonadota; Gammaproteobacteria; Oceanospirillales; Halomonadaceae
Description: partial 16S ribosomal RNA
Rfam family: Bacterial small subunit ribosomal RNA
Source: RNAcentral
CCUACGGGAGGCUGCAGUGGGGAAUAUUGGACAAUGGGGGGAACCCUGAUCCAGCCAUGCCGCGUGUGUGAAGAAGGCCCUCGGGUUGUAAAGCACUUUCAGUGAGGAAGAACGCCUGGUGGUUAAUACCCAUCAGGAAAGACAUCACUCACAGAAGAAGCACCGGCUAACUCCGUGCCAGCAGCCGCGGUAAUACGGAGGGUGCGAGCGUUAAUCGGAAUUACUGGGCGUAAAGCGCGCGUAGGUGGCUUGAUAAGCCGGUUGUGAAAGCCCCGGGCUCAACCUGGGAACGGCAUCCGGAACUGUCAAGCUAGAGUGCAGGAGAGGAAGAUGGAAUUCCCGGUGUAGCGGUGAAAUGCGUAGAGAUCGGGAGGAAUACCAGUGGCGAAGGCGGCCUUCUGGACUGACACUGACACUGAGGUGCGAAAGCGUGGGUAGCAAACAGGAUUAGAUACCCUAGUAGUC